RNAcentral lists this ribosomal RNA (463 nucleotides) under uncultured bacterium. RNAcentral describes it as "bacterial SSU rRNA". It matches the Rfam family "Bacterial small subunit ribosomal RNA", at positions 28 to 492 of the family's 1533-position model. The record is from RNAcentral.
GAUGAACGCUGGCGGCGUGCCUAACACAUGCAAGUCGAGCGGAGCUGCUUUGAUGAAGUUUUCGGAUGGAUUUAAAACAGCUUAGUGGCGGACGGGUGAGUAACGCGUGGGUAACCUGCCUCACACUGGGGGAUAACAGUUAGAAAUAGCUGCUAAUACCGCAUAAGCGCACAGUUCCACAUGGAACAGUGUGAAAAACUCCGGUGGUGUGAGAUGGACCCGCGUCUGAUUAGCCAGUUGGCGGGGUAACGGCCCACCAAAGCGACGAUCAGUAGCCGGCCUGAGAGGGUGAACGGCCACAUUGGGACUGAGACACGGCCCAAACUCCUACGGGAGGCAGCAGUGGGGAAUAUUGCACAAUGGGGGAAACCCUGAUGCAGCGACGCCGCGUGAGUGAAGAAGUAUUUCGGUAUGUAAAGCUCUAUCAGCAGGGAAGAAAGUGACGGUACCUGAAUAAGAAGCC